UUAAGCGACUAAGCGUACACGGUGGAUGCCCUGGCAGUCAGAGGCGAUGAAGGACGUGCUAAUCUGCGAUAAGCGCCGGUAAGGUGAUAUGAACCGUUAUAACCGGCGAUUUCCGAAUGGGGAAACCCAGUGUGACUCGUCACACUAUCAUUAACUGAAUCCAUAGGUUAAUGAGGCGAACCGGGGGAACUGAAACAUCUAAGUACCCCGAGGAAAAGAAAUCAACCGAGAUUCCCCCAGUAGCGGCGAGCGAACGGGGAGGAGCCCAGAGCCUGAAUCAGCAUGUGUGUUAGUGGAAGCGUCUGGAAAGGCGCGCGAUACAGGGUGACAGCCCCGUACACAAAAGCGCAUGUGCUGUGAGCUCGAUGAGUAGGGCGGGACACGUGGUAUCCUGUCUGAAUAUGGGGGGACCAUCCUCCAAGGCUAAAUACUCCUGACUGACCGAUAGUGAACCAGUACCGUGAGGGAAAGGCGAAAAGAACCCCGGCGAGGGGAGUGAAAAAGAACCUGAAACCGUGUACGUACAAGCAGUGGGAGCACCCUUUUGGGUGUGACUGCGUACCUUUUGUAUAAUGGGUCAGCGACUUAUAUUCUGUAGCAAGGUUAACCGAAUAGGGGAGCCGGAGGGAAACCGAGUCUUAACCGGGCGUUAAGUUGCAGGGUAUAGACCCGAAACCCGGUGAUCUAGCCAUGGGCAGGUUGAAGGUUGGGUAACACUAACUGGAGGACCGAACCGACUAAUGUUGAAAAAUUAGCGGAUGACCUGUGGCUGGGGGUGAAAGGCCAAUCAAACCGGGAGAUAGCUGGUUCUCCCCGAAAGCUAUUUAGGUAGCGCCUCGUGAAUUCAUCUCCGGGGGUAGAGCACUGUUUCGGCUAGGGGGCCAUCCCGGCUUACCAACCCGAUGCAAACUGCGAAUACCGGAGAAUGUUAUCACGGGAGACACACGGCGGGUGCUAACGUCCGUCGUGAAGAGGGAAACAACCCAGACCGCCAGCUAAGGUCCCAAAGUCAUGGUUAAGUGGGAAACGAUGUGGGAAGGCCCAGACAGCCAGGAUGUUGGCUUAGAAGCAGCCAUCAUUUAAAGAAAGCGUAAUAGCUCACUGGUCGAGUCGGCCUGCGCGGAAGAUGUAACGGGGCUAAACCAUGCACCGAAGCUGCGGCAGCGACACUAGGUGUUGUUGGGUAGGGGAGCGUUCUGUAAGCCUGCGAAGGUGGCCUGUGAGGGUUGCUGGAGGUAUCAGAAGUGCGAAUGCUGACAUAAGUAACGAUAAAGCGGGUGAAAAGCCCGCUCGCCGGAAGACCAAGGGUUCCUGUCCAACGUUAAUCGGGGCAGGGUGAGUCGACCCCUAAGGCGAGGCCGAAAGGCGUAGUCGAUGGGAAACGGGUUAAUAUUCCCGUACUUGGUGUUACUGCGAAGGGGGGACGGAGAAGGCUAUGUUGGCCGGGCGACGGUUGUCCCGGUUUAAGCGUGUAGGUGUGUGUUCCAGGUAAAUCCGGUUCACUUUAACACUGAGGCGUGAUGACGAGGCACUACGGUGCUGAAGCAACAAAUGCCCUGCUUCCAGGAAAAGCCUCUAAGCAUCAGGUAACAUCAAAUCGUACCCCAAACCGACACAGGUGGUCAGGUAGAGAAUACCAAGGCGCUUGAGAGAACUCGGGUGAAGGAACUAGGCAAAAUGGUGCCGUAACUUCGGGAGAAGGCACGCUGACACGUAGGUGAAGUGAUUUACUCAUGGAGCUGAAGUCAGUCGAAGAUACCAGCUGGCUGCAACUGUUUAUUAAAAACACAGCACUGUGCAAACACGAAAGUGGACGUAUACGGUGUGACGCCUGCCCGGUGCCGGAAGGUUAAUUGAUGGGGUCAGCGCAAGCGAAGCUCCUGAUCGAAGCCCCGGUAAACGGCGGCCGUAACUAUAACGGUCCUAAGGUAGCGAAAUUCCUUGUCGGGUAAGUUCCGACCUGCACGAAUGGCGUAAUGAUGGCCAGGCUGUCUCCACCCGAGACUCAGUGAAAUUGAACUCGCUGUGAAGAUGCAGUGUACCCGCGGCAAGACGGAAAGACCCCGUGAACCUUUACUAUAGCUUGACACUGAACAUUGAGCCUUGAUGUGUAGGAUAGGUGGGAGGCUUUGAAGUGUGGACGCCAGUCUGCAUGGAGCCGACCUUGAAAUACCACCCUUUAAUGUUUGAUGUUCUAACGUGGACCCGUGAUCCGGGUUGCGGACAGUGUCUGGUGGGUAGUUUGACUGGGGCGGUCUCCUCCUAAAGAGUAACGGAGGAGCACGAAGGUUGGCUAAUCCUGGUCGGACAUCAGGAGGUUAGUGCAAUGGCAUAAGCCAGCUUGACUGCGAGCGUGACGGCGCGAGCAGGUGCGAAAGCAGGUCAUAGUGAUCCGGUGGUUCUGAAUGGAAGGGCCAUCGCUCAACGGAUAAAAGGUACUCCGGGGAUAACAGGCUGAUACCGCCCAAGAGUUCAUAUCGACGGCGGUGUUUGGCACCUCGAUGUCGGCUCAUCACAUCCUGGGGCUGAAGUAGGUCCCAAGGGUAUGGCUGUUCGCCAUUUAAAGUGGUACGCGAGCUGGGUUUAGAACGUCGUGAGACAGUUCGGUCCCUAUCUGCCGUGGGCGCUGGAGAACUGAGGGGGGCUGCUCCUAGUACGAGAGGACCGGAGUGGACGCAUCACUGGUGUUCGGGUUGUCAUGCCAAUGGCACUGCCCGGUAGCUAAAUGCGGAAGAGAUAAGUGCUGAAAGCAUCUAAGCACGAAACUUGCCCCGAGAUGAGUUCUCCCUGAGACUUAAAGUCUCCUGAAGGAACGUUGAAGACGACGACGUUGAUAGGCCGGGUGUGUAAGCGCAGCGAUGCGUUGAGCUAACCGGUACUAAUGAACCGUGAGGCUUAACCUU
RNAcentral lists this ribosomal RNA (2903 nucleotides) under Salmonella enterica subsp. enterica serovar Give. RNAcentral describes it as "bacterial LSU rRNA". It matches the Rfam family "Bacterial large subunit ribosomal RNA". The record is from RNAcentral. Lineage: Bacteria; Pseudomonadati; Pseudomonadota; Gammaproteobacteria; Enterobacterales; Enterobacteriaceae.